UCGCUUGUUGGUGGGGUAAUGGCCUACCAAGGGCGACGACGGGUAGCCGGCCUGAGAGGGCGACCGGCCACACUGGGACUGAGACACGGCCCAGACUCCUACGGGAGGCAGCAGUGGGGAAUAUUGCACAAUGGGCGAAAGCCUGAUGCAGCGACGCCGCGUGAGGGAUGACGGCCUUCGGGUUGUAAACCUCUUUCAGCAGGGAAGAAGCGAAAGUGACGGUACCUGCAGAAGAAGCGCCGGCUAACUACGUGCCAGCAGCCGCGGUAAUACGUAGGGCGCAAGCGUUGUCCGGAAUUAUUGGGCGUAAAGAGCUCGUAGGCGGCUUGUCACGUCGGGUGUGAAAGCCCGGGGCUUAACCCCGGGUCUGCAUCCGAUACGGGCAGGCUAGAGUGUGGUAGGGGAGAUCGGAAUUCCUGGUGUAGCGGUGAAAUGCGCAGAUAUCAGGAGGAACACCGGUGGCGAAGGCGGAUCUCUGGGCCAUUACUGACGCUGAGGAGCGAAAGCGUGGGGAGCGAACAGGAUUAGAUACCCUGGUAGUCCACGCCGUAAACGUUGGGAACUAGGUGUUGGCGACAUUCCACGUCGUCCGGUGCCGCAGCUAACGCAUUUAAGUUCCCCCGCCCUGGGGAGUACGGGCCGCAAGGGCUAAAAACUCAAAAGGAAUUUGACGGGGGGCCC
This 681-nucleotide ribosomal RNA is filed under the name uncultured Actinomycetes bacterium. Its description in RNAcentral is "bacterial SSU rRNA". It matches the Rfam family "Bacterial small subunit ribosomal RNA", at positions 242 to 923 of the family's 1533-position model. Lineage: Bacteria; Bacillati; Actinomycetota; Actinomycetes. The record is from RNAcentral.